UGGGGAAUAUUGGACAAUGGGCGAAAGCCUGAUCCAGCCAUGCCGCGUGAGUGAAGAAGGCCUUCGGGUUGUAAAGCUCUUUUAGUCGGAAAGAAAGAGUCGCAAUGAAUAAUUGUGAUUUAUGACGGUACCGACAGAAAAAGCACCGGCUAACUACGUGCCAGCAGCCGCGGUAAUACGUAGGGUGCGAGCGUUAAUCGGAAUUACUGGGCGUAAAGGGUGCGCAGGCGGUUUUGCAAGUCAGAUGUGAAAGCCCCGGGCUUAACCUGGGAAUUGCGUUUGAAACUACAAGGCUAGAGUGCAGCAGAGGGGAGUGGAAUUCCAUGUGUAGCAGUGAAAUGCGUAGAGAUGUGGAAGAACACCGAUGGCGAAGGCGGCUCCCUGGGUUGACACUGACGCUCAUGCACGAAAGCGUGGGGAGCAAACA
RNAcentral lists this ribosomal RNA (427 nucleotides) under uncultured beta proteobacterium. RNAcentral's name for it is "bacterial SSU rRNA". It matches the Rfam family "Bacterial small subunit ribosomal RNA", at positions 355 to 774 of the family's 1533-position model. Lineage: Bacteria; Pseudomonadati; Pseudomonadota; Betaproteobacteria. The record is from RNAcentral.